Molecule: transfer RNA, 76 nt
Filed under: Acidobacteriota bacterium
Lineage: Bacteria; Pseudomonadati; Acidobacteriota
Also listed under: 1 other name
Description: Acidobacteria bacterium tRNA-Thr
Rfam family: tRNA
About the family: Transfer RNA (tRNA) molecules are approximately 80 nucleotides in length. Their secondary structure includes four short double-helical elements and three loops (D, anti-codon, and T loops).
Source: RNAcentral
GCCGGUGUAGCUCAGUUGGUAGAGCAGUCGACUUGUAAUCGACAGGUCGGGGGUUCAAGUCCCUUCACCGGCUCCA